Molecule: transfer RNA, 379 nt
Filed under: uncultured cyanobacterium
Lineage: Bacteria; Bacillati; Cyanobacteriota
Description: partial contains 16S ribosomal RNA, 16S-23S ribosomal RNA intergenic spacer, and 23S ribosomal RNA
Rfam family: tRNA (bases 220-292)
Source: RNAcentral
ACCUCCUUUUCAGGGAGACCUACUUCUGGGGAAGUGCCAAUCCCAACAAAAACAAGCACUCACAGAAGUCAUCCCAGGUCGGAGCUAGGAAAGAGAAAAAGAGACUUUCAAACGUAAACUAGGUUGGGAAUGGGCUAUUAGCUCAGGUGGUUAGAGCGCCCCCCUGAUAAGGGUGAGGUCCCUGGUUCAAGUCCAGGAUGGCCCACCUAAAAUUAGUGUGGGGGUAUAGCUCAGUUGGUAGAGCGCUGCCUUUGCAAGGCAGAUGUCAGCGGUUCGAGUCCGCUUACCUCCACUAAAACAAAAAACAAUCCAGCACUACGUCUAAGAAAAAGAGUAAAUGUUGGGAAUGUAACCAGCCAGAACCUUGAAAACUGCAUAA